This is a long non-coding RNA of Saccostrea cuccullata (small rock oyster), 488 nucleotides long. RefSeq lists it as uncharacterized. The transcript is spliced from 3 exons. Lineage: Eukaryota; Metazoa; Mollusca; Bivalvia; Ostreida; Ostreidae. The record is from RefSeq and is a predicted model, not a curated record.
AUUUAGACUGUAAUCUUCUAAUCGUUGUACUGUCUUUCCUAUGGUUGAUGACAUACUAAAAAGAUGUUAUUCUUAUAUAUCAUCAUAACUGUUGGGGUUCAGGGUGUUUUUGGAAUCUAUGGUGGAUGUAUGAGCUACUCGACUACCGUAGAGCAAUCCGGCCGUCUUAACGUGACAAUAUUUUUCUUAAAUGGAUGGAAAAAUGGAUACGGUCCCUGUCGCGUGUGUACAGCCGCCAGUGUAGGAACAGAGGUAACAGACAAAAGAAAACAAAUUAUUCAACAGACCAGAAAUUCAGAAAUAUUUGGGAAAUGGACAGUUGAAAAGAUGGUUUCUAAGACUUAUAAUAUAUCAAUUGUUGAUAAAACAUUGGAAAUAAAUAACGUUUCCAAAGAUGUUGUGCUUACUGUUAAUGAACAUGAGGGUUGGUAGUAUGCGGGUUCCGAAAUAGUUUUGGAAUUUGAAUCAAUACAAAAGGAUUUUGACAU